UAAAUGGAAGAACACAGAAUCAAAUAUCAAACUCACAACUCAGAUUUCAGACCACAGUACUUUCGUCACACUCAGGUUCAACAAGAUGAAGGUCUUGACAGCAGGUUUGUUGCACACAGAAGUCUUGGCGGCACAUCGUACUUGCACUUUGUCCCCAAUCUCGUCGCAGUUCAUGUGUGCAACCAUGACAUGAAUUUUAUGCAUGAGGGUGCAAAAUCAGCAUUCAUCUCAGAAUGACACGGCUGUAUAUGAAGGAGAAGGGCCCUGGAAUACAUGUUCUAGAAUAGCAUACAUCUAAGCUUGUACUAUAAAUACAUGUUCCAUAAAUAAUAUAAACCAAAAUUGAAGAUAAAUACUCAUCCAAAAAUGCAAAAUCAGUAAUUAUAAAGAUCCAAGCUUGUACCUGUUGUGUACAAUUCAAGUCUUUGGAAUCACAAAGUCAAAGUUUCACUUAAACCAGCACUGUCCCAAUUCACUUUCUAUAGUAGCGAAAAGUUUCUCCGUAAUUCCAUUAUUAAUUCCUGAUAUAAAACCUACCAAAGUUGUUGUAUUAAAAUUUACCAGAUCACUCCACCAAAAUGAUUCUUUGACUCAAGUUUCCUACAAGUAUUAAAGAUCUAUUCCAUAAGACAUAUGUAAAUAGACAUACUAACCAUCUCUAACUGGGACAGCAAUAUAAGUGUCAUGCUUGUGCUUGUUGUGUGUACAACUCCACAGUCUAAAGAAACACCUUAAUUGACAAUAAUUGACUUUAUUAUAUGGCUGGAGCAAGUGUAGUACAAUUUGUAAACUCCUAACCCAACAAUAUUUCCAAGACAACCGUAACAAAUAUAUUCAUUCACUUCCCCACAAAUUUCAAACUCACCAAUAUCCCAAUCUUUGAAGUAUGAACACACUUAACAAAAGAAAUAACAAUAACAAAAUAACCAUCUUACCUAGUUUCAAUCUUACGAUAGACCUUUUGCGAUAAUUUCACGUAGAAGUUUCUCUGCCUUAUCAUUUUCACCUUUAUUAAACA
RNAcentral lists this long non-coding RNA (1018 nucleotides) under Trifolium pratense (red clover). RNAcentral's name for it is "long non-coding RNA (TPRA_LNC004265)". Lineage: Eukaryota; Viridiplantae; Streptophyta; Magnoliopsida; Fabales; Fabaceae. The record is from RNAcentral.